Molecule: long non-coding RNA, 756 nt
Organism: Mytilus californianus (California mussel)
Lineage: Eukaryota; Metazoa; Mollusca; Bivalvia; Mytilida; Mytilidae
Exons: 3
Source: RefSeq, a predicted model, not a curated record
ACAACUUGUAGUGAACACUAUUAGUAAUUUCUUAUGUUCAUGCUAUUUAGAAAAUAAUCAAUUUCUAUUGUAAUGAAUAACAAUGGACUUUGUUUUCGGGAUGUAGAAGCAGGGGUUUCCAGAAACCCGCUCGUCACACCCUGUGGUCAAAAUCCAUUGUUAUUCGUAACAAUAGAUCUAUUCAAUUUACACUUGUUUCAGAAAUAGAAACUAUGAAGUAUAACAAUAGAACUGAGGUGUAAGAUUCUCUUACAAACUUAGAAUAUUGUAAAGUGCUCAAGGCUCAAAUGAUCUCUUGAAUGGUUAUAUUCAAUAAUUAGCCUCAUUGUCAGUGCAAUGUUUCUUAUUGAUGCAUGACGUCCUUUUUCGGCAUUUCAUUUAUGGAUUAGUGUUAGUGAUUAUAAUUUGGAAAAUAUUUAAAAAAAAAAAUGCGUUAUAGACAUGAGGUGACACAACAGUACAAAGAAAAGGGAGGAAUUGUUUAUGUUUCCUGAUUGUCUUUACUAAAGUAGAAAAGCUGUCUGCAUAUUAUUCAAAUGUCAAGUAAUGUCAUGAUGCUGAUGUAACUGCAGUAUUAUAAGAUGGCUAUCGCUUCAAACAUAUAUUAGCUGGGUACAGAGGACUAAUUAAAGAUACAACAUGUGUGAAGAAACUGUGAAAAAUAAAGAAAUGUGACAAAUUUUAAAGAAUCUAGAGUUACAUGUAUAUAAUUUAUUGACAAAAGUCAGUUUUGAUUAAUCAUAGUGACAAAAGACU